UACGUAGGGUGCAAGCGUUGUCCGGAAUUAUUGGGCGUAAAGAGCUCGUUGGCGGUCUGUCGCGUCGGCUGUGAAAACUCGGGGCUCAACCCCGAGCCUGCAGACGAUACGGGCAGACUAGAGUGCUGUAGGGGAGACUGGAAUUCCUGGUGUAGCGGUGAAAUGCGCAGAUAUCAGGAGGAACACCGGUGGCGAAGGCGGGUCUCUGGGCAGUAACUGACGCUGAGGAGCGAAAGCGUGGGGAGCGAACAGG
This 253-nucleotide ribosomal RNA is filed under the name uncultured bacterium. RNAcentral describes it as "partial 16S ribosomal RNA". It matches the Rfam family "Bacterial small subunit ribosomal RNA", at positions 524 to 776 of the family's 1533-position model. The record is from RNAcentral.